Molecule: non-coding RNA, 1248 nt
Organism: Coffea arabica (coffee)
Lineage: Eukaryota; Viridiplantae; Streptophyta; Magnoliopsida; Gentianales; Rubiaceae
Source: RefSeq, a predicted model, not a curated record
GUCGUCUUUCCAUCUGAAAUCUUUACUGGUAAAACUCUUGUAGUUUUGAAAUUAAGUGGAAAUGUUGGUCUGAAGGGUCCAAAAUUGUUUUGCUUACCGAAUCUUAAUUUGGAACAUUUGACAGUACUAGGAGAUAAUACAGAUUGGGCAUUUGCAUCAAUCUUGACAUUGCUUGAUGAAUUGCAGAUUUAUGGCGUAGAAUUUUGUGAUGUUGGAUCAAUUAAUAUCAACAGUCCUUGCCUGAAAAUGUUGGUGUGGACUUCGAAUCUGGUUCUGGAUAGGUUGUUCUUAAUACCCCCAUCUUAAGUGUCUGAAGUAUACAUGUUGUGCAACUCCAUUAAUCGGCUCAAAUUGCAUGCUCAGGUCCUUGCUAAAAGCUAAUCUAUCUUUCAUAUAUAUGAAGCAAACUUAUGAGCUUUAGGCUCCAGAGUUUUGUCAGUUCAUUGCUGAAAUGUGCAAUGUAAAGUCUCUUCGUGUAUAUUGGGAACAUGGACUGGUAUGUUCUUCGACUUCUGGGUGUGUUAGGUUCACUGGAAUUUUCAGGAUUUCAUGUUUUUUUUCUACAUAUAUUUUCUAAAAACUGGAAUGACUCUUGCUUUUUCUAUCAUGUGAAGUUUUCCCCCUUCGCAGAUCGUGUUGCUUCCUGAAUUUCUAAGUUUGAUGCAUUUGGAGUUUACAGCAACCGGGGCUAGCACUAGAAAUUUAGUAGUGAUUCUACUAUUUGAAAAUGCUAGUUUUUGACAUGGGUAAAGGCAGAAUACCUGUUGAUGAAGCCCUCCAUUCUGGUGCUGAAGACAAACCACUGUGUUUAAAUCAACAUCUUAGGGAAGUUGAGAUAAAAAAUUUCUGUGGGUAUUAAGAUGAGUUGAGACAGUAAGACAUCUUCUGAAGCAUGGACCUCUGUUAAAAAAGAUGUUUAUACACAGUUCAAGAACAAAAAUGCAAAAGCAAUGGCCCUUAUCUGCUCGCAAGAAGAUAAUGAAGUUCUCAAGGCAUUCAAAAAACUGUGAGAUUGUUCUUAUUUUAUGGAGUAAAAUUGUGCAGCAUUGAUGUUCAAAGAAAUAGAUGAGAUGAAAUGUUUGACAUUUGGAGAAAUAGAUGUUGAAGCAGUUUUUACUUGUAAAAUUCUUAGCUCUUGUGCUCAGUGCCUCUUCCUAUACGAGCUUUAUGGUAAGUACAUUCUAUGAACCAUCAGUAGUUUUGAGUCAUCAAGUAUUUAAUUCAAUGAAGCCAUGAAGUUCAUCUUUA